This 660-nucleotide ribosomal RNA is filed under the name Streptomyces sp. ACS57. RNAcentral describes it as "bacterial SSU rRNA". It matches the Rfam family "Bacterial small subunit ribosomal RNA", at positions 127 to 801 of the family's 1533-position model. Lineage: Bacteria; Bacillati; Actinomycetota; Actinomycetes; Kitasatosporales; Streptomycetaceae. The record is from RNAcentral.
UGCCCUUCACUCUGGGACAAGCCCUGGAAACGGGGUCUAAUACCGGAUAACACUCCUCCCUGCAUGGGGAGGGGUUAAAAGCUCCGGCGGUGAAGGAUGAGCCCGCGGCCUAUCAGCUUGUUGGUGGGGUAAUGGCCCACCAAGGCGACGACGGGUAGCCGGCCUGAGAGGGCGACCGGCCACACUGGGACUGAGACACGGCCCAGACUCCUACGGGAGGCAGCAGUGGGGAAUAUUGCACAAUGGGCGAAAGCCUGAUGCAGCGACGCCGCGUGAGGGAUGACGGCCUUCGGGUUGUAAACCUCUUUCAGCAGGGAAGAAGCGAAAGUGACGGUACCUGCAGAAGAAGCACCGGCUAACUACGUGCCAGCAGCCGCGGUAAUACGUAGGGUGCGAGCGUUGUCCGGAAUUAUUGGGCGUAAAGAGCUCGUAGGCGGCUUGUCACGUCGGAUGUGAAAGCCCGGGGCUUAACCCCGGGUCUGCAUUCGAUACGGGCAGGCUAGAGUGUGGUAGGGGAGAUCGGAAUUCCUGGUGUAGCGGUGAAAUGCGCAGAUAUCAGGAGGAACACCGGUGGCGAAGGCGGAUCUCUGGGCCAUUACUGACGCUGAGGAGCGAAAGCGUGGGGAGCGAACAGGAUUAGAUACCCUGGUAGUCCACGCC